GUCACACCCCCAGUCCCGGCACUGUGUGUGGCUUCUGGAAAUGUUCCCUCAGUCCCAGCACUGUGUGUGCCUUCGGAAAAUGUUUCCCCAGUCCCAGCACUGUGUGUGCCUUCUGAAAAUGUUUCCCCAGUACCAGCACUUUGUGUGCCUUCUGGAAAUGUUUCCCCAGUCCCUGCUCUGUGUGUGCCUUCGGAAAAUGUUUCCCCCAGUACCAGCACUGUGUGUACCUUCUGGAAAUGUUACCCCCAGCCCCAGCAUUGUGUGUGCUUUCUGGAAAUGUUUCCCCCAGUCCCAGCAUUGUGUGUGCCUUCUGGAAAUGUUUCCCCCAGUCCCAGCACUGUGUGUGCCUUCUGGAAAUGUUUCCCCCAGUCCCAGCACUGUGUGUGCCUUCUGGAAAUGUUUCCCCCAGUCCCAGCACUGUGUGUGCCUUCUGGAAAUGUUUCCCCCAGUCCCAGCACUGUGUGCGCCUUCUGGAAACGUUUCCC
This is a non-coding RNA of Pelobates cultripes (western spadefoot toad), 485 nucleotides long. Lineage: Eukaryota; Metazoa; Chordata; Amphibia; Anura; Pelobatidae. The record is from the annotation of a GenBank genome assembly.